CAAUGGACGAAAGUCUGACGGAGCAACGCCGCGUGAGUGAAGAAGGUUUUCGGAUCGUAAAACUCUGUUGUUAGGGAAGAACAAGUGCCGUUCGAAUAGGGCGGCACCUUGACGGUACCUAACCAGAAAGCCACGGCUAACUACGUGCCAGCAGCCGCGGUAAUACGUAGGUGGCAAGCGUUGUCCGGAAUUAUUGGGCGUAAAGCGCGCGCAGGUGGUUUCUUAAGUCUGAUGUGAAAGCCCACGGCUCAACCGUGGAGGGUCAUUGGAAACUGGGGAACUUGAGUGCAGAAGAGGAAAGUGGAAUUCCAAGUGUAGCGGUGAAAUGCGUAGAUAUUUGGAGGAACACCAGUGGCGAAGGCGACUUUCUGGUCUGUAACUGACACUGAGGCGCGAAAGCGUGGGGAGCAAACAGGAUUAGAUACCCUGGUAGUCCACGCCGUAAACGAUGAGUGCUAAGUGUUAGAGGGUUUCCGCCCUUUAGUGCUGCAGCUAACGCAUUAAGCACUCCGCCUG
Molecule: ribosomal RNA, 516 nt
Filed under: uncultured bacterium
Lineage: Bacteria
Description: bacterial SSU rRNA
Rfam family: Bacterial small subunit ribosomal RNA
Source: RNAcentral